CCUACGGGUGGCUGCAGUGGGGAAUAUUGCACAAUGGGGGAAACCCUGAUGCAGCGACGCCGCGUGAGUGAAGAAGUAAUUCGUUACGUAAAGCUCUAUCAGCAGGGAAGAAAAUGACGGUACCUGAGCAAGAAGCACCGGCCAACUACGUGCCAGCAUCCGCGGUAAUACGUAGGGGGCAAGCGUUAUCCGGAGUUACUGGGUGGAAAGGGAGCGUAGACGGUGCGCCAAGGCUGGAGUGAAAUGCCGCGGCUUAACUGCUGAACUGCUUUGGAAACUGGCGAACUAGAGUGCUGGAGAGGUAAGCGGAAUGCCUAGUGUAGCGGUGAAAUGCGUAGAUAUUAGGAGGAACACCGGUGGCGAAGGCGGCUUACUGGACCGUAACUGACGUUGAGGCUCGAAAGCGUGGGGAGCAAACAGGAUUAGAUACCCUAGUAGUC
Molecule: ribosomal RNA, 440 nt
Filed under: uncultured bacterium
Lineage: Bacteria
Description: partial 16S ribosomal RNA
Rfam family: Bacterial small subunit ribosomal RNA
Source: RNAcentral